This 253-nucleotide ribosomal RNA is filed under the name uncultured bacterium. Its description in RNAcentral is "partial 16S ribosomal RNA". It matches the Rfam family "Bacterial small subunit ribosomal RNA", at positions 524 to 776 of the family's 1533-position model. The record is from RNAcentral.
UACAGAGGGUGCGAGCGCUGUCCGGAAUCACUGGGCGUAAAGGGCGCGUAGGCGGCUUGAUAAGCGUGCGGUGAAAGCCCGGGGCUCAACCCCGGGUCGGCCGUGCGAACUGUCGAGCUGGAGCACUGUAGAGGCAGGUGGAAUUCCGGGUGUAGCGGUGGAAUGCGUAGAGAUCCGGAAGAACACCGGUGGCGAAGGCGGCCUGCUGGGCAGUGGCUGACGCUGAGGCGCGACAGCGUGGGGAGCAAACAGG